This 783-nucleotide ribosomal RNA is filed under the name Triticum aestivum (bread wheat). Its description in RNAcentral is "partial small subunit ribosomal RNA". Lineage: Eukaryota; Viridiplantae; Streptophyta; Magnoliopsida; Poales; Poaceae. The record is from RNAcentral.
AUGAAAGAAGCCGCCGGCCAAUCCCAUGCCCCUGUCCCUUGUCCCUCCCGUCAGGACGAAGCGGCUAAGGACCACCUGUUCCUGUUGCGAGAGCGAAGGAGGAGGAGGAGGAGGAGAAGGAGGAGACGAUGGAAGAAAACUAUCAUCUCGGCGGGGAAGAAAACGGCCUCAUCAUCUUCUGAGACCUUGGGGGCGAAGCGCGCACGCACACCGCGGAUUAUCACUCCCGUCCGAUCCGAUUUGCUCUCUCCUCCCAGGAGGGGCUGGUCUGAUCUAGACGACAGGCCGGCCGGGCUGAUCGCCGAGCGCGUCCUCGCAUAUGACGCCGCCGACUAUCUCCGCUUCCGUGCCGUGUGCCGUGCAUGGCGGCAGUGCUGCACAGAACCGCGCUCCCAUGGCGGGAUCGACCACCGGUUCCAUCCUUGGCGUUCAUCCAACUGGACCUCCCGGAGCUCCUUGACCAUGAGCUGCUGGGUCCUGGGUGUCACCCCUGAGGGCCUCCUCCUCCUGCUUUACGACCACAACCACGUCCGCCUGCUCAACCCGCUCACGCGUAACCUCACAGAGCUACCGCCGCUCACCACGCUUCUUCCCUCUAAGGACCAUUCCAUGCUUUCCUUUUUCAACACAGGCAACUUCAUAGCGACGGGUUCCGGUAUUGCUAGUGAUGGCUCAACAAUGGUGCUCUGCUUUGAUAUGCUCCACAUGCUUGGCAUGGCCAAGCUCGGCGACGACCACUGGAUCUUGCUGGAAUCCAGAAUUGGUGGGCUUACAGGACCUUAA